This is a long non-coding RNA of Daktulosphaira vitifoliae (grape phylloxera), 720 nucleotides long. RefSeq lists it as uncharacterized. The transcript is spliced from 3 exons. NCBI's taxonomy places the organism in Eukaryota, Metazoa, Arthropoda, Insecta, Hemiptera, Phylloxeridae. The record is from RefSeq and is a predicted model, not a curated record.
CAUAUAAAACGAAACUUAUUUAUUAACUCUUUUUUUAUCAUAAAAACUUGAGAAUUUUUUUUUUUUUGUUACGUCAGUGUAAGGCAAAUAUAGAUAAAUAACUCAAUCAUAAUUAAAGGCAACCGUGUGUACAUUUAUAUGAGAUAUAAUUAGUUUAAGGUUGAACAACGAUUUUGUAGAUGGAAAAAGUUAAUUUAAUCAAUACCGAGUAUAAUUCAGGCGAAGAAAAAGGUAGGUGUGGGCCUUUUCAUACAACAAAGAAAUAAAAAAUCUUAAUUAAAUAAACAAACUGUAGCCAAAAUACGUUCCGUUAUUUGUAUAAUUAUUUGCCAUAAUCAGAAAAUGCAACUAUACUAUACUUAGACUAACUUUGUGAUAAACGAAUAUUUUAUGACGUGAUGGUGAUGUUUGACAACAUUGUUGUGACCGGAAUACUAAGUUUAAUUUAAACAGACACGAAGACGGCGUACUGUAUAGGCAAAAUAUUGUACGUUGCAGAUCGACGAAACAAGUAACGAUUGUUUAGAGGACGCCCGAAAAUCCCUCUCACUUUAUGGUAAUUAAUCGAUUUUGAAACCGUAACACAAUAAGGCAGAUUAUUAUAAUGAAUAUUAUUCUAAUUCUCAAAAGUACCGAAGAAAUUAUUUCAUUGAAAAAUAAAUUUGACGAUGGGAUGCGUUAAACUACUUUGUGGUUGGUUAUUUUUUUGUGUAAUAUUUU